Molecule: ribosomal RNA, 690 nt
Filed under: uncultured Acidobacteriota bacterium
Lineage: Bacteria; Pseudomonadati; Acidobacteriota
Description: bacterial SSU rRNA
Rfam family: Bacterial small subunit ribosomal RNA
Source: RNAcentral
GAUCCUGGCUCAGAAUCAACGCUGGCGGCGUGCCUAACACAUGCAAGUCGAACGCGAAAGGGGAGCAAUCCCUGAGUAGAGUGGCAAACGGGUGAGUAACACGUGGGUGACCUGCCUUCGAGUGGGGGAUAACGUCCCGAAAGGGACGCUAAUACCGCAUGAUAUCCUGCUUUUGGACAAGCGGAGAUCAAAGCUGGGGAUCGCAAGACCUGGCGCUUGAAGAGGGGCCCGCGCCUGAUUAGCUAGUUGGUGGGGUAAUGGCUCACCAAGGCGACGAUCAGUAUCCGGCCUGAGAGGGCGGACGGACACACUGGGACUGAGACACGGCCCAGACUCCUACGGGAGGCAACAGUGGGGAAUUGUUCGCAAUGGGCGCAAGCCUGACGACGCAACGCCGCGUGGAGGAUGAAGAUCUUCGGGUCGUAAACUCCUGUCGAGCGGGAAGAACGCUUCCCGGGUGAAUAGCCUGGGAAACUGACGGUACCGCUAAAGGAAGCCCCGGCUAACUCCGUGCCAGCAGCCGCGGUAAUACGGGGGGGGCAAGCGUUGUUCGGAAUUACUGGGCGUAAAGGGCUCGUAGGCGGCCAACUAAGUCGGAUGUGAAAUCCCCAGGCUUAACCUGGGAACUGCAUCCGAUACUGGAUGGCUUGAAUCCGGGAGAGGGAUGCAGAAUUCCAGGUGUAGCGGUGA